RNAcentral lists this ribosomal RNA (482 nucleotides) under uncultured bacterium. RNAcentral describes it as "partial 16S ribosomal RNA". It matches the Rfam family "Bacterial small subunit ribosomal RNA", at positions 30 to 506 of the family's 1533-position model. The record is from RNAcentral.
UUGAACGCUAGCGGGAUGCUUUACACAUGCCAGUCGCACGGCAGCGCGGACUUCGGUCUGGCAGCGAGUGGCGAACGGGUGAGUAAUGUAUCGGAACGUGCCCAGUAGCGGGGGAUAACUACGCGAAAGCGUAGCUAAUACCGCAUACGCCCUACGGGGGAAAGCAGGGGAUCGUAAGACCUUGCACUAUUGGAGCGGCCGAUAUCGGAUUAGCUAGUUGGUGAGGUAACGGCUCACCAAGGCGACGAUCCGUAGCUGGUUUGAGAGGACGACCAGCCACACUGGGACUGAGACACGGCCCAGACUCCUACGGGAGGCAGCAGUGGGGAAUUUUGGACAAUGGGGGCAACCCUGAUCCAGCCAUCCCGCGUGUGCGAUGAAGGCCUUCGGGUUGUAAAGCACUUUUGGCAGGAAAGAAACGUCGCGGGCUAAUACCCCGUGGAACUGACGGUACCUGCAGAAUAAGCACCGGCUAACUACGU